This 405-nucleotide ribosomal RNA is filed under the name uncultured bacterium. RNAcentral describes it as "bacterial SSU rRNA". It matches the Rfam family "Bacterial small subunit ribosomal RNA", at positions 355 to 776 of the family's 1533-position model. The record is from RNAcentral.
UGGGGAAUAUUGCACAAUGGGGGAAACCCUGAUGCAGCGACGCCGCGUGCGGGAUGACGGCCUUCGGGUUGUAAACCGCUUUCAGCAGGGACGAAAACAGACGGUACCUGCAGAAGAAGCGCCGGCUAACUACGUGCCAGCAGCCGCGGUAAUACGUAGGGCGCAAGCGUUGUCCGGAAUUAUUGGGCGUAAAGAGCUCGUAGGCGGUUUGUCGCGUCGGAUGUGAAAGCUCGAGGCUUAACCUCGGGUCUGCAUCCGAUACGGGCAGACUAGAGGCAGGUAGGGGAGAACGGAAUUCCCGGUGUAGCGGUGAAAUGCGCAGAUAUCGGGAGGAACACCGGUGGCGAAGGCGGUUCUCUGGGCCUGUACUGACGCUGAGGAGCGAAAGCGUGGGGAGCGAACAGG